This is a ribosomal RNA of 2967 nucleotides. It matches the Rfam family "Bacterial large subunit ribosomal RNA". The record is from Rfam.
GGUCAAGAGAGGUAAGGGCGCAUGGUGGAUGCCAUAGGCACCUGGAGCCGAAGAAGGACGCGGCAAGCGGCGAAACGCCCCGGGGAGCCGCAAGCAGGCAGAGAUCCGGGGAUUUCCGAAUGGGGGAACCCGCUUGGGGUAAUACCCAAGCAUCCGCUGAUGAAUCCAUAGUCAGCGGAGGGGAACCGGGCGAACUGAAACAUCUAAGUAGCCCGAGGAAAAGAAAGCAAAAGCGAUUCCCUAAGUAGCGGCGAGCGAAAGGGGAGAAGCCCAAACCUACCGCUUAGGCGGUAGGGGUUCGGGCCCACCGAGAGGUGUGUGAGUACUCUAGGCGAACGGACCUGGAAAGGCCGGCCAAAGAGGGUGAAAGCCCCGUAGCCGAAAGGGGAAAGCGCACAGGUGGGUACCAGAGUACCACGGGAUAGGCGACCCUGUGGGAAGGAGGGAGGACCACCUCCUAAGGCUAAAUACUCCAGGUGACCGAUAGCGCAUAGUACCGUGAGGGAAAGGUGAAAAGAACCCCGGGAGGGGAGUGAAAUAGAACCUGAAACCAUGUGCCCACAAGCAGUCAGAGUCCGGCACUCAACCUAGUGUUUACUGGGUGAAUAGAGUAAGAGGGAUAGAAAGAGGUAGAAGUAGUUAAGAGAAGAGUAAGCACUAAGUUGAGUGCCGGAUGAUGGCGUACUUUUUGCAGAACGGGCCGGCGAGUUAUGGUAGCGAGCGAGGUUAAGGGUAGAGAUACCCGGAGCCGAAGCGAAAGCGAGUCCGAAGAGGGCGGGAAGUUCGCUGCCAUAGACCCGAAACCGUGCGACCUACCCAUGGCCAGGGUGAAGCCGGAGUAAGAUCUGGUGGAGGCCCGAACCCGUUGGCCGUGAAAAGCCAUGGGAUGAGCUGUGGGUAGCGGUGAAAUGCCAAUCGAGCACGGAGAUAGCUGGUUCUCCCCGAAAUAGCUUUAGGGCUAGCCUCAGGGUAAAGCCUGUGGAGGUAGAGCGACUGACUGGGCUAGGGGCCGAGAGGCUACCGAACCCUAUCAAACUCCGAAUGCCACAGGCAAGUACCUGGGAGUCAGACCACGAGUGAUAAGAUCCGUGGUCGAGAGGGGAACAGCCCAGACCUCCAGCUAAGGUCCCGAAGGGCAUGUUAAGUGGGAAAGGAAGUGGGACUUCGAAGACAACCGGGAUGUUGGCUUAGAAGCAGCCAUACAUUUAAAGAGUGCGUAACAGCUCACCGGUCGAGAGGUCCUGCGCCGAAAAUGAACGGGGCUCAAACAUGCCACCGAAGCUGGGGCUGCGCGUAAGCGCGGGGUAGGGGAGCGUACUGCGCGGGCAGAAGGCUGAGCGUAAGCGGAGCUGGACUGCGCAGUAGAGAGAAUGCCGGCAUGAGUAGCGAGAGUAAGGUGAGAAACCUUACCGCCGGAAGCCUAAGGAUUCCUGGGGAAGGGUCGUCCACCCAGGGUAAGUCGGGGCCUAAGCCGAGGCCGGAAGGCGUAGGCGAUGGGAAACCGGUAGAGAAUCCGGUACCACCGAGGGCCGCAUGAGGGAAGUGGGGACGCAGCGAGGUAGGCGGAGCGCGCGGUUGGUAGAGCGCGUCCAACCAGACACCGGAGGGCACGUAGGCAAAUCCGCGUGCCGGCAGGGGGCUGGGAAGGGGAGCCGGAAGGCGAAGCCGCUAAGAACGCUGCCAAGAAAAGCCGCUACCGAGGCCUGAGGUGCCCGUACCGCAAACCGACACAGGUAGGCGAGGAGAGAAUCCACAGGCGAGCGGGAGAACCCUCCUUAAGGAACUCGGCAAAAUGACUCCGUAACUUCGGGAGAAGGAGUGCCGAAAGGCCGCAGAGAAGAGGCCCAAGCGACUGUUUACCAAAAACACAGGUCUCUGCUAAGCCGAAAGGCGAAGUAUAGGGGCUGACGCCUGCCCGGUGCUGGAAGGUUAAGGGGAAGGGUGUAGGCUCUGAACCGAAGCCCCAGUGAACGGCGGCCGUAACUAUAACGGUCCUAAGGUAGCGAAAUUCCUUGUCGGGUAAGUUCCGACCUGCACGAAAGGCGUAACGACUUGGGCGCUGUCUCGAGGAGGGGCCCGGCGAAGUUGUAGUGCUCGUGAAGAUGCGAGCUACCCGCGAUUGGACGGAAAGACCCCGUGGAGCUUUACUGUAGCCUGUCACUGGACACUGGUAGUCUCUGUACAGGAUAGGUGGGAGACUGAGAAGGUGGCGCGCCAGCGUCACUGGAGUCGGCGUUGGGAUACCACCCUGAGACUAGUGGGGUUCUAACCUUAAGCCGUGAACCGGCUAAGGGACAAUGGCAGGUGGGCAGUUUGACUGGGGCGGUCGCCUCCUAAAAGGUAACGGAGGCGCCCAAAGGUCCCCUCAGCGCGGACGGGAAUCGCGCGAAGAGUGCAAAGGCAGAAGGGGGCUUGACUGUGAGAGAGACAUCUCGAGCAGGGACGAAAGUCGGGCUUAGUGAUCCGGCGGCAGUGAGUGGGAACGCCGUCGCUCAACGGAUAAAAGCUACCCCGGGGAUAACAGGCUGAUCUCCCCCAAGAGUCCACAUCGACGGGGAGGUUUGGCACCUCGAUGUCGGCUCAUCGCAUCCUGGGGCUGAAGUAGGUCCCAAGGGUUGGGCUGUUCGCCCAUUAAAGCGGUACGUGAGCUGGGUUCAGAACGUCGUGAGACAGUUCGGUCCCUAUCCGUCGCGGGCGCAGGAGACUUGAGGGGAGCCAUCCCUAGUACGAGAGGACCGGGAUGGACGAGCCGAUGGUGUACCAGUUGCACCGCCAGGUGCACAGCUGGGUAGCCAAGCUUGGAAGGGAUAAACGCUGAAAGCAUCUAAGCGUGAAGCCCACCCCAAGAUAAGGUCUCCCACCCGAAAGGGGUAAGGCACCUUGUAGAAGACGAGGUAGAUAGGCCGGGGGUGUAAGAGCGGAAACGCUUUUAGCUGACCGGUACUAAUAAGCCGAGGACUUGACCCU